UGCAGUCGAACGGUAACAGGAAGCAGCUUGCUGCUUCGCUGACGAGUGGCGGACGGGUGAGUAAUGUCUGGGAAACUGCCUGAUGGAGGGGGAUAACUACUGGAAACGGUAGCUAAUACCGCAUAACGUCGCAAGACCAAAGAGGGGGACCUUCGGGCCUCUUGCCAUCGGAUGUGCCCAGAUGGGAUUAGCUAGUAGGUGGGGUAACGGCUCACCUAGGCGACGAUCCCUAGCUGGUCUGAGAGGAUGACCAGCCACACUGGAACUGAGACACGGUCCAGACUCCUACGGGAGGCAGCAGUGGGGAAUAUUGCACAAUGGGCGCAAGCCUGAUGCAGCCAUGCCGCGUGUAUGAAGAAGGCCUUCGGGUUGUAAAGUACUUUCAGCGGGGAGGAAGGUGUUGAGGUUAAUAACCUCAGCAAUUGACGUUACCCGCAGAAGAAGCACCGGCUAACUCCGUGCCAGCAGCCGCGGUAAUACGGAGGGUGCAAGCGUUAAUCGGAAUUACUGGGCGUAAAGCGCACGCAGGCGGUCUGUCAAGUCGGAUGUGAAAUCCCCGGGCUCAACCUGGGAACUGCAUUCGAAACUGGCAGGCUAGAGUCUUGUAGAGGGGGGGUAGAAUUCCAGGUGUAGCGGUGAAAUGCGUAGAGAUCUG
This 655-nucleotide ribosomal RNA is filed under the name Enterobacter sp. RNAcentral describes it as "bacterial SSU rRNA". It matches the Rfam family "Bacterial small subunit ribosomal RNA", at positions 56 to 700 of the family's 1533-position model. Lineage: Bacteria; Pseudomonadati; Pseudomonadota; Gammaproteobacteria; Enterobacterales; Enterobacteriaceae. The record is from RNAcentral.